Molecule: long non-coding RNA, 481 nt
Filed under: Medicago truncatula (barrel medic)
Lineage: Eukaryota; Viridiplantae; Streptophyta; Magnoliopsida; Fabales; Fabaceae
Description: long non-coding RNA (MTRU_LNC005081)
Source: RNAcentral
CGCCGUUCCAUUACUCUCCUCCGUCUCGAAUCUCGACCCAGCAUCGAUCCAAACCCCAACCGUAGCAGUCAUUGCACUAAGGCUAGACUCCGUGGCGACACGUAGUCCGUUAGGGAGAGUUGUGAUGCGAGUUUCAGGAGCGGCGAGGAUUCGUGUGUGGUCACGGAUUUCGGGUUUAGGUGAACCGAAUUUGAGGAAACGUGGAUCUGGAUUUUCUAAGCGUUGGAGUUUUUGUUUGACGGAUUCGGCUAAGCGAUCGUAGAUCAUGACGUUGGGAGGUGGAGGGGAGGGUGGUGGUGAAGGGGGUGAGCGGGUGACAGGGGCGGCGGAGGAGGUGGAGAGAGUGGCGGAUCGGAUUGAGGUGAGGAUGGGUGUCCGCCGGGUUGAACGGCGGACUAGGGUGAGGAGUUUGUUGAUCGUCAUGGUGGAGAGGGCUGCCCGUGUGUGGCUAGGGUUUGGUUUGGUGAAUGAAUGAGCUGAG